Long non-coding RNA from Felis catus (domestic cat), 4742 nucleotides. RefSeq lists it as uncharacterized. The record is from RefSeq and is a predicted model, not a curated record. Lineage: Eukaryota; Metazoa; Chordata; Mammalia; Carnivora; Felidae. The transcript is spliced from 3 exons.
GGGCCAGGUGGGGACCAGGAGCAGCAGGGGAGAUGCCAAGAGUCAACAGAUGGGGAAAAAAAAAAACCAAGAAACACUAAAUGAGAAACCCAAUUGUUUGAGUGGGAGAAUUUACCUUCUAGAUGAUUUUUACAAUAUUUCCUCAUCUCAAAACAAGAAAACAAACAAGACUGUCCUUAGAUGAAAAGUCCUUGUUUUCACUUCUAAGAUGUCAGAGAAUGAAAAGAGAGAAAAGUAAUUUCGGUGCCCAGAAGUAGAAAUGCCUGUGUGAUCGUUUCCAAACAAUACCAGUUGCUUUUGAGGUCAACAGGAGAAUGUGAAGGCUGAUUCUGCUGUUUCUAACUCACAGGUCUGACAAGAAACAAGACUUCAGAGACAAAUUACAGAACAGCAGAAGAAAUAAGAUGGCUGUGAAUCCCAGAGAAAGGAUCAGAGGUGAAUGGCAUGAAGAGAUGCGGUUGGGAGAGAAACAAAAGUGAACAAAACAAAGGGAAAUGUCUUAAUCAGAACAUACCUAGAAAUGUAAUUAUUAAAUACAGAAAGGUGUCACAGGGUCUAGGGAACAAUCUUAAUGAAUAUUCACAGAGUGCAAACCAAGCUAUUGUCAGAUAUAAAAACACAAGUCUGAUUCUCUAAUCUCUUCCAGGUUAUAAUAGUUAAUAUACUUAUGAAAAUGAAUCAAUCCUUCUUAUAUAUUUGAUAUAAAACUCCUUAAAUGUAAGAAGAAAUACAGUAGUCCUCCACUUACCCAUGGUUUUGAUUUCUACGGUUUCAGUUACCUUCAGUCUGGAAGUAAAUGAACCUCCUUCUGACUAUCCUCAGAAGGUCAAUAGUAGCCUAACGCAUUGUCACAAUGCCUACAUCACUCACCUCACUUCCUCUCAUUGAGUAGGUAUUUUAUUGCCUCACAUCAUCACAGGAAGAGGAAGGGUGAGUGCAGGACAAUAAAAAGUCUUGAAAAGGAGAGAAAGACCACAUUCAUAUAGCUUUUGUUACAGUAUAUUUUAUAAUUGUUGCAUUUUAUUAUUAGUUAUUGUUAAUCUCUUACUAUGUCUAAUUUACAAAUUAAACUUUAUCAUAGGUAUAUAUGUAUAAUAAAAUACAUAGUAUAUAUAGGGUUUGAUACUAUCUAUGGUUUCAGGUAUCUGAAGUCUGGGAAUGUAUCCCCCACAGCUAAGGGGUGACAGCCAUAGAACUCUGUAUAAACAACAAAAUUAGCAAACCCCGAGACUUUUGUCACCUUUAUUUAGCAUAUUAAAUAUAUAUUUACCAAAUCAAAAGUACCUUUACCGUCUUGUUUUACCCAGUAUUCAUUCAGAGGAAAAAUUUGUUAAAUAUUCUCCAACCCAAUAAUUUCAAUAGUUUCCAAUGUGCCUUAAGCAAUAAUAAUUAACUUGGGAUUUGUAUUUUAAUGGAAAACCAGAUUUGAAGGGAACUUUUUCUGGAACUUUUUUUCCAGAUCUAUGGCUUUGAGAUUUCCUUGACAUUUUACAUAUUUACCUGGUAUGUACAUAAAUAAAUUUACACAUAUUUUAUGUAUGUAUUCACAUUAUACGCAUAUAUACAAUACUACAUAUAUUAUGUGUGCAUACAUAUAAAACAAAAGUUUUAAGAAACAGUAUUCUUUGUAUACACAAUAUUCUCUAGUAUUUUUACUACAUUUUCUAUUCUAUUUCCUCUUUUAAAAUAUGCUGAUCACAACCUGCUAAAUUGAUUUCACAAGCCAUUAAUGAAUUGCAAUCUAUAGUUCGAGAAACACUGCUCUCAGCCAAUUAAACAUUGUACUUUACUUCAGGUUUCUUCAAUUAAUCUGAUACACUUACAGACAGACUGUUUCAUUUAUGAAGUGAUUGCCAAGACCAAUAUAUGACUUAUAUUGGUCUACCAACCCAUAAAUGUUCUUACUAGUAACCCAUGCAGGCUUUCUCUAUAAAUUAUAUGGUUGGUGUCAUUGUAAAUCUUACAGGCAUUUCCUUUAUCUGCAGAAAGUAUCUAUUUUUGAAUGGAGAAAAGAAUCCCCACUGAAAAGCAAACUAAAUCACACAGUAAAUCUAAUAGAAAGUGAUUAAUGGGAUUGGUUGUCAGCAUAGUCCAGCUUCCUUCCCUCAAGAAGUGUGAACAGGACCUCAAAUCCAUCUUCAUUAAUACGUUACCACUUAGUGUGGUGUUCUAGAGAUACAUUUGAUAGUUAAUAAUUAAUCAGAAGUCUUUACUAAUAGUGGCAGAAGGGAGAAUGAAUGGGUAGACUUGCCCUGCGUAGAGAGAGAUUUCCAACAAUGACACCAGAGCAUAAUACCUUAAAGAUAUAAGACAAUGGCCUUUAUGAAAUCUGAAUAGCAUGAUAGAUUUGUAACAGCACAAUCUUCUUUGGAAAAACAAGUUUUACUCUCACUAUAUCAAUAAUGCUCACUAUUCCACAGCACUUCCCCUCUGGCUCAUAUAACCCUAAACCUUCCCUGUCAUAACACCCUGUGUUUAUUCUUGAGAAUGCUCCUUGUGACUGUAACUAGUUAUUUGAUCAUUAUUCAUUUUAUGUCUGCUAUCCCAUUUAGCCCGGCUAAUUCACUAUGGAAUCCACAGUGGCUAGCCCAGUGCUACUACAUCAAUAGUACUCAAUAAAUACUUACUGAGUGAAGGAGGGACUGGAAGGAUGAAAGCAAAUGUUAGCAGGUUAAUUUCCAGGUUUUUUUCUGCCUUCAAAUAGAGGUAGAGACUCACACCGCCACUCGCAUAUUUACUGUAUAUUUACUGGAAAGCAUGUUCUUUUUCCUCCUAUUCACCCAAGCCAAGAACUUUUCCAUCAUGUUCAAUUUUCCCCCAUUGUAUUUCAUUCAGUUAAUGUUUAUUGAGCUCCCGCUGCAGACCAGCAACUACAGUUUCUCUCUAAUCCAUCCAUUCCACUCAGUUCCUUGUGCCACUGCCUCACCAUUUCUUCCUUAGAUCAUGACAAUAGCCUCUUAUAUUUUCCCUGCAUCCUACUUCCGGAAGUGCCCUCCAUCCACUCUACAUAUGGCUGCCCAAGUAAUCUUCCUGAAACAGGAGAUAUAAUCCUGCCCCAAAUCCUCAGAGCCCAACUCCUAAAUGUGACAUACAAGGCUCUCUUUUUCUCCUAGGUUGACCUCCCUGACAUAAAUUCUAUAUUCCAUAUAACAAAUAACAAAACUCUUACACUUGCUGAAUGUCCUGUGCUGUCUCAUCACUCCAUGACUUUAAACAUUCUCUUCCUUCUUCUGGGAAUAUCCUUCCCACUUUCUUUACCUGAGAUAUUUCCAUUCAUUCUUAAGGCUACACUGCAAAUGAUGCCCUUUCCAUGAAACUUUCCUGGUCCAAUUACCCUUCUUGAAUGAUUACCCUACUAGAUCGUUGUUCAUUUUCUGUGCUCUGGUUUCACUUUGUAUUACAUAUCUAUAACUGUAUAUAUUAAAUUGUACUGUUAUUAUUUAUUUGCAUGCCUAUUUCUGGCUCCCUCUAUGAGACUUCAAAGCUCUUCAAAAUGAACAUUCAUGAGCAAGAAUGAAUAUAAAGUUGAAUAUAAACUUAUCUCUAUCUAUAGUACCUAUCACAGACAUUGACCAUAAUAAAUUGUAUCUGUCAGAAUCCAUAGUUUCUGGAAACAUAAUCUCAUUUAGCUAGUCUAUGCCAAAAGGAAAUUACUACAAGGUAUUAGGCAGCUAAUGAAAUUUCUAGGAGAGGCAGGUAGUGUAGCAUGGAUGACUCAACCAACAAUACUCAGUUGAACUGAAUAGAAUCCUCUACCAUCCUUUUCUAGCUGAAACCUCACUGCCCCAGGCCAAUGACAGGAUCAGUAGUUUCUUUAGCAAAGUUUCCCCAGAAGAACCAAAGAUUUCACCACCAUACUUGCCAGCAGAUGCUAUCUCUUUGAGCAUUUACACCAACCACUCAUUACUCACUUCUUCCUUCCAAGUCUCACCUACAGAAGAGACCCUGCAUAGUCUUAGAAGGUGCCAUCACAUCAUGCAAAGUCUGUAAACCAUGUGCCGAGGCACAGUUAACAUAGGUUAUAUAUGCUGAGGACGCGUAGCUCACUACGUCGAAUCUGAACUGCAAAGGGGUCUGCGAAAUGCAGUUUAACCUUCCUGCCUCAAUAGUUCAGGAAGCCAUGCCAAAAGGGGCAGGAGUGGGAAAGGGGUGAGCCACUUUGCAGUUCUUCUCACAUAUGUGCCUAAGAAAUGGUAAGGAGGAAAUGGAAGGUUGAAAUGUGAAGGUCAUCUUAUCUUCUCCAUAUUCUGCUGUUUAAGUAAUUCAAAUUUAGCUUUUAAUUAACAAAAUACACCAUUAUUCCUUCAAAAAUAUUAUUUAUAUUCUAAUUUUCAGACAGUUAUUUCCUUAGCUCUGUCUUUAGCACAUCACCUCUCUCUAAAUUUUUCUAAGGCUCAUACUACUUAUACACCUUUUCCAGUGUAGCUUGUGAUUUGAAAUAUAUUGCAUUCCCAUUCCUUUUCAUUUGUAUAAGAACAUGAACCCUCUGAUUUUAACACAUAACGACGCUGGCUAACAACAACAACAAAAGAUUCUCUCAAAUGUGAAAUCAUAAUUUUAAGUUAUUUCUAUCAGAACAGAUAAAUUGAACAUAAUUUCAAAUUCUCCUCCUGUACUUGGUACCUUUAUAGCACACUGGAGGCAACAAUUAAGUUAUCUGUUUUCAGUGUAAUAAGUAGAGAAUUCUUUUGUAAAAAUUCAUAAGCCAAAAUAAAUUCAUUUUUUUUUUAUAAUUUUUUUUU